GGGUAUUUUGCUCUGAAAGCCACAAGAUUACAAAUACUACAUUCUUUGGGUUCACACAAAUGCACUGGGCACCAACAUGACAUAAUAUUCCACAGCAGCCUAGCAGUUAUCGAUGAAGCCAGAGUGAAAACAAAUAAACACACAAAAGCACUCUCAUGCUCCUGGUUGAAAGGCUAAAGUCUCGUUCUGCUAAAGUACAGUCUAUGUAUCAACAGUAGCUGCUGAAACAUGGUGGAGCAAUAUGGGUCUCAUGCUCCUGGGGAGCAGGAGGGAAGAGGGAAAUCUGAAGCCCCAGGGCUACAAAGAAAGAUAUUGCUCUCAAUGGUGCCCAGAGACAUCUCACAUCUUCCAGCACAUUAAAGAACCACCCAAACCAUUCUCCAUGGGCUCUCCAGGUCAUUCCAAGAUUUUACUGCAUUGCUGCAGAACACCGCCACCUUUCUUGCCAGCUGGGGCUCCAUUACAAUGAAUCAGCAGCAAUGUUGGCAGCUGGGGUCGCUAAAUGUGAACGCUGGGGAUGGUGCUUACGUGGCAGAGGUGGAGAUGGAAUGAUUUGGAGAGGGUAACUAAUAAUAUACAACAUCUGAUGCAGAAGUGUUGCCAAUGAUUAAUUCUUAUAUUUUCCUCGUGUCUCAGGACAAGACAGUAAUACAUUGUGGUGAUGGAAUUGGUUGCACUGCAUUGAAUUUUAAAGAAAAAUAGAAAGGGAAGUAUUCAGUUUCAUUAGACCAGGUUCAAAUUUCUCCCUGACUUCUAUUUCAGCCUUCUGCUUCAGGGUCUAACUGGCCUGCCUGCGGCACCAUAUGCUUGCAUUUGACAUUGGUUUUACUAAUACCUUUGGAAAUAUAGAGCUAGAAGGAUUAUAUUGUAAAUCCUGAGAAGUAGAGUGUUACCGUGGGAAGGGCAAUGGAUUUGGAGUUCUGCUACUUAGGACCUGUGUGACCUUGAGUAAGUACUUAACCUCUUUGGGCCUCAACUUCCCCAUUUAUAAAAUGAAGGGGUUAGACUACAUGGCCUGAAAAGUCCCAUCCAGCUCUGAAUUUAUAAUUCUGUGACCUUCUCAUAUAUGUCUGUAAGGAACAGAGCUGGGAUUUGAACCCAGGCUGUUUAACUCCAAAGACUCAGCAUUUGUUUGAUUUCCCAACACUAUUUUCAAGGUGAAAAAGCUUUUUCAGUCAAAGUUAAGUGACAAAAGGUAACUUAGUCACCAAUAACUAUCUUGAAGCGGGC
Molecule: long non-coding RNA, 1230 nt
Filed under: Phascolarctos cinereus (koala)
Lineage: Eukaryota; Metazoa; Chordata; Mammalia; Diprotodontia; Phascolarctidae
Description: lncRNA (ENSPCIG00000015467.2)
Source: RNAcentral